UUUUGGUUCAGUCUCAGCUGCUCUUUUCAUAUAUUCUCCUUAUUUUUAAACAGAUCAGAAGUUUCUGGCACCACUUCAGGUCCUUUCUUGGAGACGAGCAUAAGAUGGUCAUAACAAUAAUGUUCUUUGCUUCAGGAUUCUGUGUGUUGAUUUCACCCACUGCCUAUUCUUUAAUAAGUCAUUUUUAAUAAUAUCGUUGAAAACAACUCCAACUUUAAGAAAGAGGUAAGUUUAGUUUUAUAGAAGAGAGAUUCUCUCUGUCAGGUGAAUAUCUGCAAAUAUACAAACACAUUAAAUCUGAGUCUGUAGAUGACAGUCAGCAAUGCAGCCCCAUUUAAAAACAUUAAGAAAAAAUUAAAGUGUGAAUCAGCGACUGCUGCUGUCUGAACUUUUAAUGUGACUCUUUCCUUACUUGUGUAAAAUAUCUGAAUGAUCAGUCAUUACUGCUUUUCUUGAAACCUCAACACAGAAAAAGAAUAAAAUCCACAUGAUGUGAAAUCCAUCACUUUCUUGCUCUA
Long non-coding RNA from Oreochromis aureus, 518 nucleotides. RefSeq lists it as uncharacterized. The transcript has 2 exons. The record is from RefSeq and is a predicted model, not a curated record. Lineage: Eukaryota; Metazoa; Chordata; Actinopteri; Cichliformes; Cichlidae.